RNAcentral lists this ribosomal RNA (702 nucleotides) under fungal sp. 1 EO-2010. Its description in RNAcentral is "eukaryotic LSU rRNA". The stretch from base 397 to 550 matches the Rfam family "5.8S ribosomal RNA". The record is from RNAcentral. Lineage: Eukaryota; Fungi.
UUCCGUAGGUGGUUCGCCUACCAGAGCCUGCCGUGACUAUAAAUAAUGGCGCAGUCUGCCAGCGUUGCAGGCAACAUCUCUAACAUGCUAGAAGUUACUGUAUAGUAUCACUAGCAGCACGCUUCGUCGUGUUCACAGAUCAAAUAGAGGUGGCCCCUAGGGGUUAAGACAUGAUCGAUUAGAAGCCUGAAAUGGAUUCUCCUGAUUUUCAAAGGAACCUGCGGAAGGAUCAUUACAGAGAACUUGCCCUUCGGGGUAGAUCUCCCACCCUUUGUUUACAUUACCUUUGUUGCUUUGGCGGGCCCGUCUCACGACCACCGGCUUCGGCUGGUCAGCGCCCGCCAGAGGACCCAAAACUCUUUUGUUAAUGUCGUCUGAGUACUAUAUAAUAGUUAAAACUUUCAACAACGGAUCUCUUGGUUCUGGCAUCGAUGAAGAACGCAGCGAAAUGCGAUAAGUAAUGUGAAUUGCAGAAUUCAGUGAAUCAUCGAAUCUUUGAACGCACAUUGCGCCCUCUGGUAUUCCGGGGGGCAUGCCUGUUCGAGCGUCAUUACAACCCUCAAGCUCUGCUUGGUAUUGGGCGUCACUGUCUCCGGUGCGCCUUAAAAUCAGUGGCGGUGCCAUUAGGCUUCAAGCGUAGUAAUUCUUCUCGCUCUGGAGUUCUGGUGUGUGCUUGCCAACAACCCCUAAUUUUAUCAAGGU